GGCAAGUAAAAUGCGUGUGUUCGUGUUGAUUCAUUGAAUUCGCCAUCCAAACUAGCUCUCUCUCACUCUCGCACUACCCCACCACCACCCACCUUACUCUUCGCGGGGGAACCUACUUUAUUGUUACUCUCCUUUUGCGAGAGCGCUGACAGAUAAGAAAUUACGGAGCCCAGAAGAAUCGGAAUCAUCAAUGAAGUCGCUGUCUACUCUCCAACGAAAGCUCCUGCGCAAAUGCUCCGCCAAGAGCCAGUUAUAUUGGAGACUCGAUGAAAUGUUUAAUUUUAUAACCAUGACCCUGAUAUUUACACCCAAAAAGAAGAGCCUCACAUAAGGAAAUACGUGUGUACCCAUACAGAAAUCGCAUGAAAGGACAAUUUCAAGGAUAUGCGGCGCGUGCAAAAAUUUCUCCACAAACAACAAACUUGCUGGUGCGCCUGCGUUGCACUAGCUUUACAUAAAACACACACCCAUACACCCCAUAUACCGUUAGCAGCGAAAACCGUUGGAGCAAUAAAGAAAGCCAGGCAGACAGAGACGGAGACAGUCGGCGAGGGAAAGAAACGGCCAUACGAAAUCCAUGCUCAGCCCACGCAUUUCUCGCUGCUCACUGUCGGCUUGGCACGCGGCUCCUGAGAUUCCAAGGGCGUAAUUCCCCAGGACUUUACUCUGCUUUCGUCCCUGGCGCGUGGGAGGCCAGCCGCUCGUCGGCCGGAGGGGGCGGGGCGGCAAGGCAAGGGAGUGGACUGGGAAAAAUUCGGCCACUUUAAUAAGCUACAUUUCAUUUCAGCAUUCUUAAUACAAAGAAAAUCUGCGUACUUUGAAAAUGGUAAUAGUAGUAGAAAAUAGGUUUUUUAAU
Drosophila sechellia is the source of this 856-nucleotide long non-coding RNA. RefSeq lists it as uncharacterized. The record is from RefSeq and is a predicted model, not a curated record. NCBI's taxonomy places the organism in Eukaryota, Metazoa, Arthropoda, Insecta, Diptera, Drosophilidae. The transcript has 3 exons.